AGUGAACGCUGGCGGCGUGCUUAACACAUGCAAGUCGAACGGAUGAAAUAAGCUUGCUUAUUUCGUUAGUGGCGCACGGGUGAGUAAUGUAUAGCUAACCUGCCCUUUAGUGGGGGACAACAGUUGGAAACGACUGCUAAUACCCCAUAUUCCUUCUUAUCAUAAGGUAAGUUGGGAAAGAUUUAUUGCUAAAGGAUGGGGCUUUAUGGUAUCAGCUAGUUGGUGGGGUAACGGCCUACCAAGGCUAUGACGCCUACCUGGUCUGAGAGGAUGAUCAGGCACACUGAAACUGAGACACGGUCCAGACUCCUACGGGAGGCAGCAGUGGGGAAUAUUGCACAAUGGAGGAAACUCUGAUGCAGCAACGCCGCGUGGAGGAUGACGCAUUUCGGUGUGUAAACUCCUUUUAUAAGGGAAGAUAAUGACGGUACCUUAUGAAUAAGCACCGGCUAACUCCGUG
This 460-nucleotide ribosomal RNA is filed under the name uncultured bacterium. RNAcentral's name for it is "bacterial SSU rRNA". It matches the Rfam family "Bacterial small subunit ribosomal RNA", at positions 29 to 507 of the family's 1533-position model. The record is from RNAcentral.